UCUAUGAAUACUUGCUAGAACAGAGAUGCAUGUGGAGGUUUUACAUGAAAAGGCAGAAAGCCCCUAGAAUCCAGCUGCCAGGAGCAGAUGAUUAUUUCUAACAUUUACUAUCACCACAGCCUUACGGAUGUGACCUAAAAGCUGCUGACAGCACAGCUGGAAGAUUCUGCCUCAUUUCAGUGGAGCUGAGAUGUCCAAACCAGACUCUUCAUCUCCAACAUUUCACAGGCCACUGCCACCACGAAGCAAACCUCCCAAGAGGCAGGAGCAGGACUUUCUCAGUGAAUUCCCAGUGCCUGAAGAUCCCCUUGGCACUGGUGAGAGACAGGGAGAGUUUUCCUGCUGUAUUUGGAGCAGGGAGCUAAGCACUGAGGCAGUCCAUGGCAGAAAGGCACUGAGCUGUCAGUGUCUCUGUUUGCUCCUGUAUCAUCCCAGAAUGACAUAAAGGCAUCUUGGCAACGUGUGGAUUUCAUCCCCAAACCCAUAAAAUAGUCAUAGAUCCAGUAAUAGAUUUUAACAUCUUUUGUGGGCUAUUGCUUUCCCUCAUGCUAUCUCCCCUCCACUUUGUGCUAAUUUGUAUUCAAUGCUGCUGUCCUGAAAGCUUCUCUGAAAAUUCCCAGGAGAUCUAUCAUACUUCGCCUGUUUUCCCUUGUUUCUAAAAUUAAUUUAAAUCAAUUAUUUCAUAUAUUCCAUCUUUUUCUUUAAGCCAUUUAGUGAAGAUAUAGCCAAUUAUUCAACAUAAAAUACAACCAGAUCAUUUCACCACAACAGAAAAUGUGAUUUAUCAUCACAUUCAAUUAGAACCCACUGAAGGCAGUGGCAAAAGUCCCAUUUAGCUGAAUAAGGAUCAAGGCUUUGAUUUACUGUGCCAUAGGAAUAACACAUAAUGGAAAAGGCCAGAAUACAUACGGGAUUCCAAUUUCAAAGAGAUUGUUUUGAAUCAGUUGCUUUCCAAGCAUGAUGAUGCUCAGCUGAAUGCAGAGUUCCAUCAGACACCCUCCUGGAGCACACUGAAAAUAAACAAAACCAGAGAGUGUGAA
Molecule: non-coding RNA, 1040 nt
Organism: Taeniopygia guttata (zebra finch)
Lineage: Eukaryota; Metazoa; Chordata; Aves; Passeriformes; Estrildidae
Source: RefSeq, a predicted model, not a curated record